CAGCAGCCUCGGUAAUACGAAGGGUGCAAGCGUUAAUCGGAAUUACUGGGCGUAAAGCGUGCGUAGGCGGUGAGUUAAGUCUGCUGUGAAAUCCCCGGGCUCAACCUGGGAAUGGCAGUGGAUACUGGCUCGCUAGAGUGUGUCAGAGGAUGGUGGAAUUCCCGGUGUAGCGGUGAAAUGCGUAGAGAUCGGGAGGAACAUCAGUGGCGAAGGCGGCCAUCUGGGACAACACUGACGCUGAGGCACGAAAGCGUGGGGAGCAAACAGGAUUAGAUACCCCGGUAGUCCCUGUCUCUUAUAC
Molecule: ribosomal RNA, 301 nt
Filed under: uncultured bacterium
Lineage: Bacteria
Description: partial 16S ribosomal RNA
Rfam family: Bacterial small subunit ribosomal RNA
Source: RNAcentral